Molecule: RNA transcript, 1289 nt
Organism: Schistocerca cancellata (South American locust)
Lineage: Eukaryota; Metazoa; Arthropoda; Insecta; Orthoptera; Acrididae
Exons: 4
Source: RefSeq, a predicted model, not a curated record
GUUCAGGUUAUAAAGCAAGUAUGAUUAAACAGCCUGUAAUAGUAGACGUUGGCACUACCAAGCAUGAAAGCGGUAGAAGGAAACCAGCGGUUGGUGCUCGUCCAAGAUCGAGGUCAGUCGGGAAAACGAAGUUGGAAAGCAAAUCCGUUAAACAGCCAUUUAAACCUUAUAUUACAGUAGACGAUGAGACACUUGAUGGGGAUUCACCAUCACGAAAGCACUCUGCCACCAACAGUCAAGUUAAAAAAUUCAUUUCGCUUCCAUCUUCCACUGUAAUGGAUGAUGCUAGUGGUCUUGCCCCUACAAUGGAGAACAGCAUUUAUGAUAGCAAAUAUCGUCGUCUUAGGACUACCUCGUUCACUGCGUACAAGAGCAAUACUAUUUUGCAUAAAACUACUUCCUCCAGAUUAUCCACUGCAGUGGAUGCUGGUGUUAAUAGACAUUUCGAACCUAAAGUCUCACAAUACAAGACUGGCGAUAUUCAGUCGUAUAAACUGCUUGACGACCUCGACAUCACCGAUGAAGAGGCACUGGAUACUGAAGAUAGUGAGGCUACAGAUGAUCCUGAUGAGAAUGAUGAUCCUGCUGAGCCGCCAUCAAGUACCGGAGAUGCAGAAGGAGAAGCGACAGGCAAUGCAGAAGGAGAAGCGACAGGCAAUCCAGAGGAUGUUACAGACGAACAAAAUGAAAACGAAGAUGGACAACCCGGUCCUCCGUCUGGCGAUAAGUCUGGGGCAAGUGAUUCUGUAGAAGAUGGAGAAACAGCUGGUCAUAUAGUACUAGUACAGUUUCUGCUUCUGGCUUUUGUGUGUAAAGCAGUUUCCUUAUUCUUCCAGCAACACAAAUGCACUUGCUGACUGUGAAUCUACGACAACCUACCAAAUGGAAUAUCAAACAAAUGCUGCAUACCUGUAAAUCUCACAUGUCCUUCAAUAAACAUCUUAUCAAUGGGAAAUACAUUAAUGGAUAGUCUGCAUUCAGUAUACAUCUACCUCACAAUCUCACAUAAACUCCCUGAGUAAAACCAGGCACCUCAGCUAGCCAGAUUGAAUCCAAUUGUGUGCUGGAUGCGGCCCACAGGCAGCCAACUACCCACCCAUGGCGUAUUUGGCACCACUGAAAAUGAAGUGAGAAAAUGUGAAACCAUAACCUUACCAUCACACUAUCAUGAGGUUCUGAGCCACCACAGUACCUGUAUGGUUCUGGACAAGGACUGACACGUAUGAUUUCAAGACCAUUCCUAAUAGAUUAAAGAAAAAAAAGCUACCAUUCAAAAUGCCUGGAUUCAU